Molecule: unclassified non-coding RNA, 325 nt
Filed under: Hevea brasiliensis (rubber tree)
Lineage: Eukaryota; Viridiplantae; Streptophyta; Magnoliopsida; Malpighiales; Euphorbiaceae
Source: RNAcentral
AGAAAUAAGAAAAAAUAUAUUUGCCUCGGUUAAUGGACAAAUGAGCAAGGACAAACAGGACUUCAGUGUUCAAUCCGAGUUUGCUGCAGCUCUCACUAAUCCAGGUGGGCCCACUUAUGCGGUUGGUCUUGAUGUACAAUCUGCUAAUAAAGAGCUGAUCUGCACUAUCCACAGUAAUGCAAAGGUAAGAACUUUAAGAACUAAUGUCGCUGAAUGCGGUAUUUCUGUAAUACCAUUCGGGGAUAAGUAUUUUCUUGGUGCCAAGUGUGAAGACAGUUUUACAAUUGGAAAGAGACUGAAGUUUAAUGUGAACGCUGGUCGGAUG